RNAcentral lists this ribosomal RNA (253 nucleotides) under uncultured bacterium. Its description in RNAcentral is "partial 16S ribosomal RNA". It matches the Rfam family "Bacterial small subunit ribosomal RNA", at positions 524 to 776 of the family's 1533-position model. The record is from RNAcentral.
UACGAAGGGGGCUAGCGUUGCUCGGAAUCACUGGGCGUAAAGCGCACGUAGGCGGAUUGCUAAGUCAGGGGUGAAAUCCUGGAGCUCAACUCCAGAACUGCCUUUGAUACUGGCGACCUUGAGUCCGGGAGAGGUGAGUGGAACUGCGAGUGUAGAGGUGAAAUCCGUAGAUAUUCGCAAGAACACCAGUGGCGAAGGCGGCUCACUGGCCCGGUACUGACGCUGAGGUGCGAAAGCGUGGGGAGCAAACAGG